Molecule: ribosomal RNA, 253 nt
Filed under: uncultured bacterium
Lineage: Bacteria
Description: partial 16S ribosomal RNA
Rfam family: Bacterial small subunit ribosomal RNA
Source: RNAcentral
UACGGAGGGUGCAAGCGUUGUCCGGAAUCACUGGGCGUAAAGGGCGCGUAGGCGGCCUGGUAAGUAGGGGGUGAAAUCCUGCGGCUUAACCGCAGGGCUGCCUUCUAAACUGUCAGGCUUGAGCACGGUAGAGGCAGAUGGAAUUCCCGGUGUAGCGGUGGAAUGCGUAGAUAUCGAGAGGAACAUCGGUGGCGAAGGCGGCCUUCUGGACGGUGACUGACGCUGAGAUGCGAAAGCGUGGGGAGCAAACAGG